RNAcentral lists this ribosomal RNA (392 nucleotides) under uncultured bacterium. RNAcentral describes it as "partial 16S ribosomal RNA". It matches the Rfam family "Bacterial small subunit ribosomal RNA", at positions 523 to 917 of the family's 1533-position model. The record is from RNAcentral.
AUACGGAGGAUCCGAGCGUUAUCCGGAUUUAUUGGGUUUAAAGGGUGCGCAGGCGGGAGAUUAAGUCGGCGGUGGAAUUUUGCAGCUCAACUGUAAAAGUGCCUUCGAAACUGGUUUUCUUGUGUGUAGAUGAAGUAGGCGGAAUUUGUGGUGUAGCGGUGAAAUGCAUAGAUAUCACGAGGAACUCCGAUUGCGCAGGCAGCUUACUAAACUACUACUGACGCUCAGGCACGAAGGCGUGGGGAUCAAACAGGAUUAGAUACCCUGGUAGUCCACGCAGUAAACGAUGAUUACUAGCUGUUUGCGAUACAAUGUAAGCGGCUGAGCGAAAGCGUUAAGUAAUCCACCUGGGGAGUACGUUCGCAAGAAUGAAACUCAAAUGAAUUGACGGG